Molecule: ribosomal RNA, 620 nt
Filed under: Stephanosphaera pluvialis
Lineage: Eukaryota; Viridiplantae; Chlorophyta; Chlorophyceae; Chlamydomonadales; Haematococcaceae
Description: SSU rRNA
Rfam family: Bacterial small subunit ribosomal RNA
Source: RNAcentral
GGAUUAUGCGGUUUAAUUUGAUGAUACCCGAAGAACCUUACCAGGGUUUGACAUGUCUAGAAUCAAUCAGAAAUGAUUGAGUGCCUUUGUCCUUUACAUUUAUGUAACCGGGACUUUUGAACUAGAACACAGGUGGUGCAUGGCUGUCGUCAGCUCGUGCGUUGACGUGUACGGUUAAGUCCUGCAACGAGCGCAACCCUCGUCUUUAGUUACCUUACCCUCUAAAGAGACUGCGCGCGCAAGCGCUGAGGAAGGUGAGGAUGACGUCAAGUCAGCAUGCCCCUUACACCCUGGGCGACACGCGUAAUACAAUGGUUGGGACAAUCAGAAGCUAACCCGCGAGGGUACGCAAAUCUGUUAAACUCAACCACAGUUCGGAUUGUAGGCUGCAACUCGCCUGCAUGAAGUAGGAAUUGCUAGUAAUCGCCGGUCAGCCAAACGGCGGUGAAUACGUUCCCGGGUCUUGUCCACACCGCCCGUCACAUCAAGAGAGUAUACAAAGGUCCAAGUCAUUAGUUUAACCCUUUUUUGGGAAAACGGUGCCCAAGCUUCGGUAAACAAUCAUGAUGAAGUCGUAACAAGGUAGGGCUUCUGGAAGGAGGCCCUGGAUCACCUCCUUA